This is a long non-coding RNA of Mauremys mutica (yellowpond turtle), 284 nucleotides long. RefSeq lists it as uncharacterized. The record is from RefSeq and is a predicted model, not a curated record. The transcript is spliced from 3 exons. NCBI's taxonomy places the organism in Eukaryota, Metazoa, Chordata, Testudines, Geoemydidae.
CCCUGUCACACCAUCUUAAGAUCUGUUUCUUUAUCUGGUGAUGGCUAAUUCGUCAUAUUGGAACCAAGUAGGAGCCACACUUUGAGAUGAAGUUUCUCCAGAUUUGAGUGCAGUAUCCUGCCUUUGUUCUGUGAGAGGAGAUCCGCCCACAGUGGAAGAGUUCGGUGGGGCACAGACCACUAUACGCAUCAGAGACCAGUGAAGAAAGGCAGCACUGCCCUGAGUCCUGUCUUCAUCCAAGGACGGUUGAGAAGGAACUGAGGAGGGUGUGGGGAAGAUUCCAG